CACGUAAGCCCCGAGCGUUGUUCGGAAUUAUUGGGCGUAAAGGGCAUGUAGGCGGUAAUGCAAGUCCGGUGUGAAAGGCAGGAGCUCAACUCCUGGACUGCGCUGGAAACUGUAAUACUGGAGUCACUGAGGGGCAUCCGGAAUUCCUGGUGUAGGGGUGAAAUCUGUAGAUAUCAGGAAGAACACCGGUGGCGAAGGCGGGGUGCCAGCAGAUGACUGACGCUGAGGUGCGAAGGUGCGGGGAG
This 245-nucleotide ribosomal RNA is filed under the name uncultured Treponema sp. RNAcentral describes it as "partial 16S ribosomal RNA". It matches the Rfam family "Bacterial small subunit ribosomal RNA", at positions 524 to 768 of the family's 1533-position model. The record is from RNAcentral. Lineage: Bacteria; Pseudomonadati; Spirochaetota; Spirochaetia; Treponematales; Treponemataceae.